UACGAAGGGGGCUAGCGUUGCUCGGAAUCACUGGGCGUAAAGGGCGCGUAGGCGGAUCUUUAAGUCGGGGGUGAAAGCCUGUGGCUCAACCACAGAAUUGCCUUCGAUACUGGGGAUCUCGAGACCGGAAGAGGUGAGUGGAACUGCGAGUGUAGAGGUGAAAUUCGUAGAUAUUCGCAAGAACACCAGUGGCGAAGGCGGCUUACUGGUCCGGUUCUGACGCUGAGGCGCGAAAGCGUGGGGAGCAAACAGG
RNAcentral lists this ribosomal RNA (253 nucleotides) under uncultured bacterium. Its description in RNAcentral is "partial 16S ribosomal RNA". It matches the Rfam family "Bacterial small subunit ribosomal RNA", at positions 524 to 776 of the family's 1533-position model. The record is from RNAcentral.